AUUGAACGCUGGCGGCAUGCCUAACACAUGCAAGUCGAACGGCAGCACGGCAGUAGCAAUACUGUGGGUGGCGAGUGGCGGACGGGUGAGGAAUACGUCGGAAUCUGCCCAGUCGUGGGGGAUAACUAGCCGAAAGGUUAGCUAAUACCGCAUACGACCGAGAGGUGAAAGCGGGGGACCGCAAGGCCUCGCGCGAUUGGAUGAGCCGACGUCGGAUUAGCUAGUUGGUGGGGUAAAGGCCCACCAAGGCGACGAUCCGUAGCUGGUCUGAGAGGAUGAUCAGCCACACUGGAACUGAGACACGGUCCAGACUCCUACGGGAGGCAGCAGUGGGGAAUAUUGGACAAUGGGCGCAAGCCUGAUCCAGCAAUGCCGCGUGUGUGAAGAAGGCCUCGGUUGU
RNAcentral lists this ribosomal RNA (400 nucleotides) under uncultured bacterium. RNAcentral's name for it is "bacterial SSU rRNA". It matches the Rfam family "Bacterial small subunit ribosomal RNA", at positions 29 to 426 of the family's 1533-position model. The record is from RNAcentral.